RNAcentral lists this transfer RNA (71 nucleotides) under Phaeocystis globosa. RNAcentral describes it as "tRNA-Ala". It matches the Rfam family "tRNA". Rfam says of the family: Transfer RNA (tRNA) molecules are approximately 80 nucleotides in length. Their secondary structure includes four short double-helical elements and three loops (D, anti-codon, and T loops). Lineage: Eukaryota; Haptophyta; Phaeocystales; Phaeocystaceae. The record is from RNAcentral.
GGGGAUGUUUCUCAAAGGUUGAGUGUUUGCUUUGCAAGCAAAAGGUUAUUGGUUCGAAUCCAAUCAUUUCC